AUGGCGAAGAAAGUGCAGGUGAUCGCUACGCUCCUGACCCUGAACCUUCUCUUCUUCACCUUCGCCAACGCCACUGGCCGUCCCUGCCCUCCUGGCGGGGGCAGCGGCGGGGGAGGGAGCGUCUGUUUGAAUGGUCUCAUUCUCGUGAUGCUAUACUUUGGUACUGGCAUUGCACUAUUUGUAUCGACUUCCCUACUUUUGUAA
This 204-nucleotide ribosomal RNA is filed under the name Triticum aestivum (bread wheat). RNAcentral's name for it is "partial small subunit ribosomal RNA". The record is from RNAcentral. Lineage: Eukaryota; Viridiplantae; Streptophyta; Magnoliopsida; Poales; Poaceae.